This 520-nucleotide ribosomal RNA is filed under the name uncultured bacterium. Its description in RNAcentral is "partial 16S ribosomal RNA". It matches the Rfam family "Bacterial small subunit ribosomal RNA", at positions 29 to 523 of the family's 1533-position model. The record is from RNAcentral.
AACAAACGCUGGCGGCGUGCCUAACACAUGCAAGUCGUACGUGAAAAUCCGCUUCGGUGGAUGAGUACAGUGGUGCACGGGUGAGUAACGCGUGGAUAAUCUGCCCUUUAGUUUGGGAUAACUCAUCGAAAGGUGGGCUAAUACCGGAUGAUGCAGUUUUUACUUCGGUUGGCCAGCCAAAGGGGGCCUCUAUUUAUAAGCUCUUGCUGAAGGAUGCGUCCGCGUAACAUUAGGUUGUUGGCAGGGUAAAAGCCUACCACGGCGACGAUGGUUAGCUGGUCUGAGAGGAUGAUCAGCCACACUGGAACUGAGAUACGGUCCAGACUCCUACGGGAGGCAGCAGUGAGGAAUCUUGCGCAAUGGGGGAAACCCUGACGCAGCAACGCCGCGUGAGUGAGGAAGGUCUUCGGAUCGUAAAGCUCUGUCGGGUGGAAAGAAAUGCAUGGAGGCUAAUACCUUUCAUGCUUGACGGUACCACCGGAGGAAGCACCGGCUAACUCCGUGCCAGCAGCCGCUGUAA